GACAGAGGGUGCGAACGUUGUUCGGAAUUACUGGGCGUAAAGCGCAUGUAGGCGGCAGCGCAAGUCGGGCGUGAAAUCCCACGGCUCAACCGUGGAAGUGCACUCGAAACUGCGCAGCUAGAGUCCUGGAGAGGAAGGUGGAAUGCUUGGUGUAGAGGUGAAAUUCGUAGAUAUCAAGCGGAACACCGGUGGCGAAGGCGGGUAACUGGCCAAACACUGACACUCAUCUCCGAAAGCGUGGGGAUCAAACAGG
This 253-nucleotide ribosomal RNA is filed under the name uncultured bacterium. Its description in RNAcentral is "partial 16S ribosomal RNA". It matches the Rfam family "Bacterial small subunit ribosomal RNA", at positions 524 to 776 of the family's 1533-position model. The record is from RNAcentral.